ACUAUCAUUAACUGAAUCCAUAGGUUAAUGAGGCGAACCGGGGGAACUGAAACAUCUAAGUACCCCGAGGAAAAGAAAUCAACCGAGAUUCCCCCAGUAGCGGCGAGCGAACGGGGAGGAGCCCAGAGCCUGAAUCAGUGUGUGUGUUAGUGGAAGCGUCUGGAAAGGCGCGCGAUACAGGGUGACAGCCCCGUACACAAAAAUGCACAUACUGUGAGCUCGAUGAGUAGGGCGGGACACGUGGUAUCCUGUCUGAAUAUGGGGGGACCAUCCUCCAAGGCUAAAUACUCCUGACUGACCGAUAGUGAACCAGUACCGUGAGGGAAAGGCGAAAAGAACCCCGGCGAGGGGAGUGAAAAAGAACCUGAAACCGUGUACGUACAAGCAGUGGGAGCCUCUUUUAUGGGGUGACUGCGUACCUUUUGUAUAAUGGGUCAGCGACUUAUAUUCUGUAGCAAGGUUAACCGAAUAGGGGAGCCGAAGGGAAACCGAGUCUUAACUGGGCGUUAAGUUGCAGGGUAUAGACCCGAAACCCGGUGAUCUAGCCAUGGGCAGGUUGAAGGUUGGGUAACACUAACUGGAGGACCGAACCGACUAAUGUUGAAAAAUUAGCGGAUGACUUGUGGCUGGGGGUGAAAGGCCAAUCAAACCGGGAGAUAGCUGGUUCUCCCCGAAAGCUAUUUAGGUAGCGCCUCGUGAACUCAUCUCCGGGGGUAGAGCACUGUUUCGGCAAGGGGGUCAUCCCGACUUACCAACCCGAUGCAAACUGCGAAUACCGGAGAAUGUUAUCACGGGAGACACACGGCGGGUGCUAACGUCCGUCGUGAAGAGGGAAACAACCCAGACCGCCAGCUAAGGUCCCAAAGUCAUGGUUAAGUGGGAAACGAUGUGGGAAGGCCCAGACAGCCAGGAUGUUGGCUUAGAAGCAGCCAUCAUUUAAAGAAAGCGUAAUAGCUCACUGGUCGAGUCGGCCUGCGCGGAAGAUGUAACGGGGCUAAACCAUGCACCGAAGCUGCGGCAGCGACACUAUGUGUUGUUGGGUAGGGGAGCGUUCUGUAAGCCUGUGAAGGUGUGCUGUGAGGCAUGCUGGAGGUAUCAGAAGUGCGAAUGCUGACAUAAGUAACGAUAAAGCGGGUGAAAAGCCCGCUCGCCGGAAGACCAAGGGUUCCUGUCCAACGUUAAUCGGGGCAGGGUGAGUCGACCCCUAAGGCGAGGCCGAAAGGCGUAGUCGAUGGGAAACAGGUUAAUAUUCCUGUACUUGGUGUUACUGCGAAGGGGGGACGGAGAAGGCUAUGUUGGCCGGGCGACGGUUGUCCCGGUUUAAGCGUGUAGGCUGGUUUUCCAGGCAAAUCCGGAAAAUCAAGGCUGAGGCGUGAUGACGAGGCACUACGGUGCUGAAGCAACAAAUGCCCUGCUUCCAGGAAAAGCCUCUAAGCAUCAGGUAACAUCAAAUCGUACCCCAAACCGACACAGGUGGUCAGGUAGAGAAUACCAAGGCGCUUGAGAGAACUCGGGUGAAGGAACUAGGCAAAAUGGUGCCGUAACUUCGGGAGAAGGCACGCUGAUAUGUAGGUGAAGUCCCUCGCGGAUGGAGCUGAAAUCAGUCGAAGAUACCAGCUGGCUGCAACUGUUUAUUAAAAACACAGCACUGUGCAAACACGAAAGUGGACGUAUACGGUGUGACGCCUGCCCGGUGCCGGAAGGUUAAUUGAUGGGGUCAGCGCAAGCGAAGCUCUUGAUCGAAGCCCCGGUAAACGGCGGCCGUAACUAUAACGGUCCUAAGGUAGCGAAAUUCCUUGUCGGGUAAGUUCCGACCUGCACGAAUGGCGUAAUGAUGGCCAGGCUGUCUCCACCCGAGACUCAGUGAAAUUGAACUCGCUGUGAAGAUGCAGUGUACCCGCGGCAAGACGGAAAGACCCCGUGAACCUUUACUAUAGCUUGACACUGAACAUUGAGCCUUGAUGUGUAGGAUAGGUGGGAGGCUUAGAAGUGUGGACGCCAGUCUGCAUGGAGCCGACCUUGAAAUACCACCCUUUAAUGUUUGAUGUUCUAACGUUGACCCGUGAUCCGGGUUGCGGACAGUGUCUGGUGGGUAGUUUGACUGGGGCGGUCUCCUCCUAAAGAGUAACGGAGGAGCACGAAGGUUGGCUAAUCCUGGUCGGACAUCAGGAGGUUAGUGCAAUGGCAUAAGCCAGCUUGACUGCGAGCGUGACGGCGCGAGCAGGUGCGAAAGCAGGUCAUAGUGAUCCGGUGGUUCUGAAUGGAAGGGCCAUCGCUCAACGGAUAAAAGGUACUCCGGGGAUAACAGGCUGAUACCGCCCAAGAGUUCAUAUCGACGGCGGUGUUUGGCACCUCGAUGUCGGCUCAUCACAUCCUGGGGCUGAAGUAGGUCCCAAGGGUAUGGCUGUUCGCCAUUUAAAGUGGUACGCGAGCUGGGUUUAGAACGUCGUGAGACAGUUCGGUCCCUAUCUGCCGUGGGCGCUGGAGAACUGAGGGGGGCUGCUCCUAGUACGAGAGGACCGGAGUGGACGCAUCACUGGUGUUCGGGUUGUCAUGCCAAUGGCACUGCCCGGUAGCUAAAUGCGGAAGAGAUAAGUGCUGAAAGCAUCUAAGCACGAAACUUGCCCCGAGAUGAGUUCU
Molecule: ribosomal RNA, 2640 nt
Filed under: Escherichia coli
Lineage: Bacteria; Pseudomonadati; Pseudomonadota; Gammaproteobacteria; Enterobacterales; Enterobacteriaceae
Description: bacterial LSU rRNA
Rfam family: Bacterial large subunit ribosomal RNA
Source: RNAcentral